UCCCGGUUAACCCGGGCAGUCUCGCUAGAGUGCCCAACAUUACUUGAUGGCAACUAACGACAAGGGUUGCGCUCGUUGCGGGACUUAACCCAACACCUCACGGCACGAGCUGACGACAGCCAUGCAGCACCUGUGCAUCUGUCUCUUGCGAGAAGAAUACAUCUCUGUAUCUGUCAAAUGCAUGUCAAAUCCAGGUAAGGUUCUUCGCGUUGCAUCGAAUUAAACCACAUGCUCCACUGCUUGUGCGGGUCCCCGUCAAUUCUUUUGAGUUUCACCCUUGCGAGUGUACUUCCCAGGCGGUAUACUUAUCGCGUUAGCUUCGGCACAGUCGGGGUUGAGUCCGACUACGCCAAGUAUACAUCGUUUAAGGCAAGGACUAC
This 380-nucleotide unclassified non-coding RNA is filed under the name uncultured Chlamydiales bacterium. RNAcentral describes it as "contains 16S-23S intergenic spacer region". The record is from RNAcentral. Lineage: Bacteria; Pseudomonadati; Chlamydiota; Chlamydiia; Chlamydiales.